AAAAAAGGUAAGCUACUAAGAGCGAAUGGUGGAUGCCUUGACUGGUAAAGGCGAUGAAGGACGUACUAGACUGCGAUAAGCUACGGGGAGCUGUCAAGAAGCUUUGAUCCGUAGAUUUCCGAAUGGGGCAACCCAAUGUAUAGAGAUAUACAUUACCUAUAUAGGAGCGAACGAGGGGAAUUGAAACAUCUUAGUACCCUCAGGAAAAGAAAUCAAUAGAGAUUGCGUCAGUAGCGGCGAGCGAAAGCGUAAGAGGGCAAACCCAGUGCUUGCACUGGGGGUUGUAGGACUGCAAUGUGCAAGAGGUGAGUUUAGCAGAACAUUCUGGAAAGUAUAGCCAUAGAGGGUGAUAGUCCCGUAUGCGAAAAACAAACCUUAGCUAGCAGUAUCCUGAGUAGGGCGGGACACGAGAAAUCCUGUCUGAAGCUGGGUCGACCACGAUCCAACCCUAAAUACUAAUACCAGAUCGAUAGUGCACAAGUACCGUGAGGGAAAGGUGAAAAGAACUGAGGUGAUCAGAGUGAAAUAGAACCUGAAACCAUUUGCUUACAAUCAUUCAGAGCACUAUGUAGCAAUACAGUGUGAUGGACUGCCUUUUGCAUAAUGAGCCUGCGAGUUGUGGUGUCUGGCAAGGUUAAGCAAACGCGAAGCCGUAGCGAAAGCGAGUCUGAAUAGGGCGCUUAGUCAGAUGCUGCAGACCCGAAACGAAGUGAUCUAUCCAUGAGCAAGUUGAAGCUAGUGUAAGAACUAGUGGAGGACUGAACCCAUAGGCGUUGAAAAGCCCCGGGAUGACUUGUGGAUAGGGGUGAAAGGCCAAUCAAACUUCGUGAUAGCUGGUUCUCUCCGAAAUAUAUUUAGGUAUAGCGUUGUGUCGUAAUAUAAGGGGGUAGAGCACUGAAUGGGCUAGGGCAUACACCAAUG
This 921-nucleotide ribosomal RNA is filed under the name Campylobacter coli. RNAcentral's name for it is "partial 23S ribosomal RNA". It matches the Rfam family "Bacterial large subunit ribosomal RNA", at positions 1 to 936 of the family's 2925-position model. The record is from RNAcentral. Lineage: Bacteria; Pseudomonadati; Campylobacterota; Epsilonproteobacteria; Campylobacterales; Campylobacteraceae.